RNAcentral lists this ribosomal RNA (497 nucleotides) under uncultured bacterium. Its description in RNAcentral is "partial 16S ribosomal RNA". It matches the Rfam family "Bacterial small subunit ribosomal RNA", at positions 28 to 507 of the family's 1533-position model. The record is from RNAcentral.
GAUGAACGCUGGCGGCGUGCCUAAUACAUGCAAGUCGAGCGAACAGACGAUGAGCUUGCUCCUCUGACGUUACCGGCGGACGGGUGAGUAACACGUGGAUAACCUACCUCUAAGACUUGGAUAACUUCGGGAAACCGGAGCUAAUACCGGAUGAUAUUUUGAGCCGCAUGGUUGAAUAGUGAAAUACGGUUUUGCUGUCACUGCUAGCUGGAUACGCGCUGCAUUAGUAAGUUGGUAACGUAACGGCUUCCCAAGGCAACGAUGAGUAGCCGACCCGGGAGGGUGUUGGCGCACUCUGGGACUGAGACACGGCCCAGACUCCUACGGAAGGCAGCAGUAGGGAAUGUUGGGCAAUGGGCGAAAGCCUGACGGAGCAACGCCGCGUGAGUGAUGAAGGUCUUCGGAUCGUAAAACGCUGUUAUGAGGGAAGAACACAUGUGUAAGUAACUAUGCACGUCUUGACGGUACCUAGUCAGAAAGCCACGGCUAACUACGUG